GAAAUGUCUGUCGUUCUGUUCCUCUCUCUGUCUCUGCUCACAGACUUUGUGUCACCGCUGACAAUCCAGCAGUCACCUCUCAACCAGCUGAUCAGACCUGAACAAGGAGAAACCCGUCUUGGAUGUCAUCAUGGAGACAACGACUACCCCUACAUGCUCUGGUACCGGCACAAGCCAGCGACCGCAGGAGGAGACCUAAGGGCCAUGGAGCUGAUCGGACUGCUUCGUUAUGAAAGGCCGGACCUGGAGAAGAACUUUGAGGGGCGUUUUAACAUCACGGGUCACUCAAAGGGUCAUGCUCAGCUGGUCAUCUCUAAAGUAAACCCAGCAGACAGUGCAGAGUACUUCUGUGCAGCCAGUCAGCACAGUGCUGCGUCUCCUCUGGAUGCUUUACAAAAACACACGGCUCGCUGA
This is a non-coding RNA of Notolabrus celidotus (New Zealand spotty), 414 nucleotides long. Lineage: Eukaryota; Metazoa; Chordata; Actinopteri; Labriformes; Labridae. The record is from the annotation of a RefSeq genome assembly.